Molecule: long non-coding RNA, 1010 nt
Organism: Solenopsis invicta (red fire ant)
Lineage: Eukaryota; Metazoa; Arthropoda; Insecta; Hymenoptera; Formicidae
Exons: 2
Source: RefSeq, a predicted model, not a curated record
AGCAAGAAGAAACGUUCCAGUGCAGUUUAGUGCAGGAAUAGAAAACAAGCCUACAGAAUGCACUGAACCGCACCGAGAUUUUCGGCAGUGCGGUUCAGUGCGUUCCGUACUUAUAGUUUAGUAUAAAAUUGAUACAACAUAUAUAACAGUAGGAAAUGGCAAAAAUAUGAUGGAAAAAAUAUUGUUAUUAGACGAACUAUUAGAUAGUUCAAGCAGUUCCAGCAAUAAAGAGAUAAUGACAAUAUUAAUGAAAUGUGAAAAUAUUCCAAAAGUAAAAAAUAUGAUGGAAAUUAUUAAUAAAUAAUCUGACAAGGAGGUAUGCUAUACGAAAUUUCAACAUAUUUUAAAUAUUUGUUAUUUUAGAUUUAAAACAUCUGUUAUUAGUUUCAGCGACAUUUUUGUUUGAAAAAAAGCACGUUCGAUAUAUUGAAUAAUAUGUAUUUAAAUUUGGAAAUUUAUAAUACAACAACAGAGUAUGGUGAGCGUAAAACAAUAAAUAGUGAUGUACAGCUAUUAGCCCUGUUAUGGUUUGCAGGAAACAAAUGUGUGAUACGGGACAUGCAUUGCAUCUAGAUUUAAUGUAGCAAAAUCUAUUUUUCAUUCUAUCAUAACAAAUGUUAUGAAAUAUUUUAAUUAUAUUGCUCCAAAUAUGAUAAAAAUGCCAGAUACAGAAGAUAGAAAAAGAUUAGUUGCUCGUAAAUUUGAAGAUGUGCGUAGUUUUUUUAUGUUUAAAAAAAUGCAUAACAGUUGACUAAUAAUUUAUUAGUGGUAGUAAUCAAUAUAAAAAUACGCACUCCGAGCAAGUACGGUCGUUUUCAUUAUAGUUGCGACACUUUUUUUUGGAUGCAUUUCUGAACGCGCAACUAUAACGAGAGAUGAGAACGACUGUAGUUGUGGAGGUUAGCGCGAAAUAUCAAACGUUGGUAUACAAGGUGUCGCAAAUAAAAUUUGGGUACCUUGGAGGAAAUAUAAGAUAAGUAUACUCGCAAAUAUUUUUCAAAUAGAUUUUU